GUGGGGAAUAUUGGGCAAUGGGGGAAACCCUGACCCAGCAACGCCGCGUGAGUGAAGAAGGCCUUCGGGUUGUAAAGCUCUGUCAUUAGGGAAGAAGAAGUGACGGUACCUAAUGAGGAAGCCCCGGCUAACUACGUGCCAGCAGCCGCGGUAAUACGUAGGGGGCGAGCGUUGUCCGGAAUUACUGGGCGUAAAGGGUGCGUAGGCGGCGUGUUAAGUUGGAUGUGAAAUACCCGGGCUUAACCUGGGGGGUGCAUUCGAUACUGACAGGCUAGAGUGCAGGAGAGGGAAGCGGAAUUCCUAGUGUAGCGGUGAAAUGCGUAGAUAUUAGGGGGAACACCAGUGGCGAAGGCGGCUUUCUGGACUGUAACUGACGCUGAUGCACGAAAGCGUGGGGAGCAAACAGGAUUAGAAACCCCUGUAGUCC
RNAcentral lists this ribosomal RNA (427 nucleotides) under uncultured bacterium. Its description in RNAcentral is "partial 16S ribosomal RNA". It matches the Rfam family "Bacterial small subunit ribosomal RNA", at positions 354 to 796 of the family's 1533-position model. The record is from RNAcentral.